UUCAAAUCAAUCUCCUGAUAAUGC
Molecule: non-coding RNA, 24 nt
Filed under: Arabidopsis thaliana (thale cress)
Lineage: Eukaryota; Viridiplantae; Streptophyta; Magnoliopsida; Brassicales; Brassicaceae
Source: RNAcentral